Molecule: non-coding RNA, 216 nt
Filed under: Aerococcus christensenii
Lineage: Bacteria; Bacillati; Bacillota; Bacilli; Lactobacillales; Aerococcaceae
Description: T-box sequence
Rfam family: T-box leader
About the family: Uncharged tRNA acts as the effector for transcription antitermination of genes in the T-box leader family. T-boxes are found upstream of many aminoacyl-tRNA synthetase genes and some amino acid biosynthetic genes usually in Gram-positive bacteria.
Source: RNAcentral
AAAGAUUCGAUGAAGCAAAGAGUAGUUGGUGAUUCUCCAGUUGAGCGAGGGACGUAGGAUGGAAGGUCCUCUGGAGGCUAUCGAUGAACCGCAUUGCGGAGAUGACUGGUCGAAAGUUGAGAUUAGUCCGCAGAUGUCUGCGUUAACAAACAGAGUGUUAUUAGGAAGCUAAUGACAAAUUAGAGUGGUACCGUGGAAAAAAAGUCCGCCUCUUCA